RNAcentral lists this long non-coding RNA (230 nucleotides) under Hordeum vulgare. RNAcentral describes it as "long non-coding RNA (HVUL_LNC004253)". Lineage: Eukaryota; Viridiplantae; Streptophyta; Magnoliopsida; Poales; Poaceae. The record is from RNAcentral.
AACAAUCCAUCUUAUCCACACACCAUCUCGGGGGCACCUAAGUUAAUAAAGAGAAAUUUGAGUGCGUAAGAACCAAAUCAAGGAAACUAACUACAAAGCCUUAAUAAUAUGUAAUUACCUUCAUGUAAUGCUCCUUCUCCAUCUUAGCAUCACGGCGUCCAUAGACUUGUCUCAACUCGGUGUCCAUAGACUCUGCAUCAGCCUACAAGUUUAAUACGAAAGAAUGGAUG